Molecule: non-coding RNA, 154 nt
Organism: Eubacterium sp. CAG:76
Lineage: Bacteria; Bacillati; Bacillota; Clostridia; Eubacteriales; Eubacteriaceae
Source: Rfam
UGAUAAAACGAACUCUUUGAUUAUUAAAUUCAAAAAUUGUACACACAGAACACCUAAAACGGAAUAUAAUGGUGUGAACACGCUAUUUUAUGGGAGUUUGAGGUGUUCGAUGACUGCGGGAAUUGCAUAGCAAUGAAGCAAUCCGGUUACAUCA